AGAGUUUGAUCAUGGCUCAGAGCGAACGCUGGCGGCAGGCUUAACACAUGCAAGUCGAGCGGGCGUAGCAAUACGUCAGCGGCAGACGGGUGAGUAGCGCGUGGGAACGUACCUUUUGGUUCGGAACAACACAGGGAAACUUGUGCUAAUACCGGAUAAGCCCUUACGGGGAAAGAUUUAUCGCCGAAAGAUCGGCCCGCGUCUGAUUAGCUAGUUGGUGAGGUAAUGGCUCACCAAGGCGACGAUCAGUAGCUGGUCUGAGAGGAUGAUCAGCCACAUUGGGACUGAGACACGGCCCAAACUCCUACGGGAGGCAGCAGUGGGGAAUAUUGGACAAUGGGCGCAAGCCUGAUCCAGCCAUGGCCGCGUGAGUGAUGAAGGCCCUAGGGUUGUAAAGCUCUUUUGUGCGGGAAGAUAAUGACGGUACCGCAAGAAUAAGCCCCGGCUAACUUCGUGCCAGCAGCCGCGGUAAUACGAAGGGGGCUAGCGUUGCUCGGAAUCACUGGGCGUAAAGGGUGCGUAGGCGGGUCUUUAAGUCAGGGGUGAAAUCCUGGAGCUCAACUCCAGAACUGCCUUUGAUACUGAGGAUCUUGAGUUCGGGAGAGGUGAGUGGAACUGCGAGUGUAGAGGUGAAAUUCGUAGAUAUUCGCAAGAACACCAGUGGCGAAGGCGGCUCACUGGCCCGAUACUGACGCUGAGGCACGAAAGCGUGGGGAGCAAACAGGAUUAGAUACC
RNAcentral lists this ribosomal RNA (735 nucleotides) under uncultured bacterium. RNAcentral describes it as "bacterial SSU rRNA". It matches the Rfam family "Bacterial small subunit ribosomal RNA", at positions 8 to 786 of the family's 1533-position model. The record is from RNAcentral.